GUCCACUAAAUACCUACUACAAGAAGGGAUCUACAAGCCUAUAUGGACGGAUUUAAGGAAACGCAAGCCCAGGAUUACUAGAAACCAGCUAAGUUCCCAAUCCACUCCCUUUCUUACAUUAGUGCCUACUUAGGUAUCAUACCUACUAUAGAAACUAGAUUACAAACUAAAUCUUAACUUAACUUCAUAACAAACAGUGUAUUUAAUAUAAAUCCUCAUAAGGCGCAGCUAUAGAUAUCUACUUAGCCAUCGUUAUCUAGUGCCAGCUGCAGCUAACGGUAAAAAAUCACAUGUUUACGCCGUCAGUACUAGUUGCCGGCUUAUCGAAAUAACAAGUAAAUUAAAUCAAAAUCAGUGCCUAUUGUGAUUAAAGUGCAGUUAUCUCAAUAUUUAGUGCAUAAAAUAAGUACAUUACGUGUUUUUUCAACAGAUAUACUAGUACACAAAUAUAUUAGGACCUAACGAGUACAUAGUGCUAAUUAUCUUAACUAAAACUACGAAUUACAAAUCGAAUGUGCCCAUGAAGAAGCUGCCGAGCAAUACUCCCAGCGGAAUACUUUCGAGGCAACGUACUACAGCAGCAUCGCUCGCGCCCAGCUCCUGCUGAGCGAGGCGGAGGGUCCUGCAGGCAGGAGUAGUAAGUCACCACCAGCCGAUAUGCAGGUGACGGAUAUGAAGCGCACAAAGCUCGGACCAAAAUGACUUAUUGCCACUCACACCUGGCCACUUCAUCAUCGGGCGAAGUAUGACGGCGAUCCCAGAAGAAGACCUUACUUCACGCACCAGAUUAGUGGACAGAUACCAGAAGAUUCAACAGCUUCGCCAGCACUUCUGGGCACGUUGGCAACUAGAAUAUAUAAGUGAGCUUCAGAUCCGAACUAAAUGGAGGCAGUCGACGAACGGGCAACUAGAGAUUGGGACCCUCGUCGUUAUCAAAGAUAAGCAACAACCUCCAAUAAAAUGGCUCCUGGGGAGAAUACAACGAGUCUUCCCAGGGCGCGACGGCGUUACCAGAGUCGCAGAGAUUCAAACUGCCACUGGAUUGCUGCGCAGAGACUUUACCAAGAUCUGCCCCUUACCCGUGGACACUACAGUUGAAGACGACACUUCAAGGUCCGCCGGCAUGUCGCGUACCACUCCAACAGGGCGACCGCGGGGUGAGGUGACAGCGGGGAGCAGCCAUCUUCGGGAUUGACUUACUUACUAGCCACCGCGGCCAUGACUCGGCUCUUUACAUUUUUGUAUAUUUUUUAUAAUUAAAAUCAUAGUAACAAUU
RNA transcript from Leguminivora glycinivorella, 1276 nucleotides. RefSeq lists it as uncharacterized. NCBI's taxonomy places the organism in Eukaryota, Metazoa, Arthropoda, Insecta, Lepidoptera, Tortricidae. The record is from RefSeq and is a predicted model, not a curated record. The transcript is spliced from 3 exons.